AACGAACGCUGGCGGCAUGCCUAACACAUGCAAGUCGAACGAGACCUUCGGGUCUAGUGGCGCACGGGUGCGUAACGCGUGGGAACCUGCCCUUAGGUUCGGAAUAACUCCCCGAAAGGGGUGCUAAUACCGGAUAAUGUCCUCGGACCAAAGAUUUAUCGCCUUUGGAUGGGCCCGCGUUGGUUUAGCUAGUUGGUAGGGUAAAAGCCUAUCAAGGCGACGAUCCAUAGCUGGUCAGAGAGGAUGAUCAGCCACACUGGGGCUGGGACACGGCCCAGAAUACUAGAGGAGGGAGGAGUGGGGAAUAUAGGAAAAUGGGGGGAGGCCUGAACCAGCAAUGCCGGGUGAGUGAUGAAGGCCUUAGGGUUGUAAAGCUCUUUUACCCGGGAUGAUAAUGACAGUACCGGGAGAAUAAGCUCCGGCUAACUCCGUG
This 433-nucleotide ribosomal RNA is filed under the name uncultured bacterium. RNAcentral's name for it is "partial 16S ribosomal RNA". It matches the Rfam family "Bacterial small subunit ribosomal RNA", at positions 29 to 507 of the family's 1533-position model. The record is from RNAcentral.